Molecule: ribosomal RNA, 429 nt
Filed under: Triticum aestivum (bread wheat)
Lineage: Eukaryota; Viridiplantae; Streptophyta; Magnoliopsida; Poales; Poaceae
Description: partial small subunit ribosomal RNA
Source: RNAcentral
AUGGGUGAUUUUAAUGAUAUUCUUGAUCCCCCGGAGAAGAAUACUAAUGUUGUUUCAAACAAUCAUCGUAUGGCUAGCUUUUCUAAUCAUGUUAAACAAUGUGGCUUAACAGAUAUGGGUUAUAAUGGUGCUACUUUUACUUGGUGCAAUAAACACUUAACUGACAUGCCUAUCUAUACACGUUUUGAUCGUUUUUGUAAUGUUGAAUGGUGUAGCGCUUUUCCUAAUACUUCGGUUUAUAAUUUUCCUAUCAUGUAUAGUGAUCAUGCUCCUAUCUUGACUAUUUCCAAGCCUACUGUUGUUAAAACUAGGAAAACUUUUAAGUUUGAAAACUGGUGGCUUUUUGAAAAUGAUUAUCAAGAGAUGGCAAAAAAUAAUUGGACUGACACUAAUGACAAACCAUCAUGCAGGGUCAUAUGUUGGAAAUAA